Molecule: ribosomal RNA, 253 nt
Filed under: uncultured bacterium
Lineage: Bacteria
Description: partial 16S ribosomal RNA
Rfam family: Bacterial small subunit ribosomal RNA
Source: RNAcentral
UACGUAGGGCGCAAGCGUUGUCCGGAAUUAUUGGGCGUAAAGAGCUCGUAGGCGGUUUGUCGCGUCUGCUGUGAAAGCCCGGGGCUCAACCCCGGGUCUGCAGUGGGUACGGGCAGACUAGAGUGCAGUAGGGGAGACUGGAAUUCCUGGUGUAGCGGUGAAAUGCGCAGAUAUCAGGAGGAACACCGAUGGCGAAGGCAGGUCUCUGGGCAUUAACUGACGCUGAGGAGCGAAAGCAUGGGGAGCGAACAGG